CCUACGGGUGGCAGCAGUGAGGAAUAUUGGUCAAUGGACGAGAGUCUGAACCAGCCAAGUAGCGUGAAGGAUGACUGCCCUAUGGGUUGUAAACUUCUUUUAUAUGGGAAUAAAAUGUUCCACGUGUGGGAUUUUGUAUGUACCAUAUGAAUAAGGAUCGGCUAACUCCGUGCCAGCAGCCGCGGUAAUACGGAGGAUCCGAGCGUUAUCUGGAUUUAUUGGGUUUAAAGGGAGCGUAGGUGGAUUGUUAAGUCAGUUGUGAAAGUUUGCGGCUCAACCGUAAAAUUGCAGUUGAAACUGGCAGUCGUGAGUACAGUAGAGGUGGGCGGAAUGCGUGGUGUAGCGGUGAAAUGCUUAGAUAUCACGAAGAACUCCGAUUGCGAAGGCAGCUCACUGGACUGCAACUGACACUGAGGCUCGAAAGUGUGGGUAUCAAACAGGAUUAGAUACCCCUGUAGUC
This 460-nucleotide ribosomal RNA is filed under the name uncultured bacterium. RNAcentral's name for it is "partial 16S ribosomal RNA". It matches the Rfam family "Bacterial small subunit ribosomal RNA", at positions 338 to 795 of the family's 1533-position model. The record is from RNAcentral.